Sander lucioperca (pikeperch) is the source of this 976-nucleotide long non-coding RNA. RefSeq lists it as uncharacterized. NCBI's taxonomy places the organism in Eukaryota, Metazoa, Chordata, Actinopteri, Perciformes, Percidae. The transcript has 2 exons. The record is from RefSeq and is a predicted model, not a curated record.
UGUCACUAAAGAUGACUGAGUUCAACUAGAGGACUCCUUUGUGUUAUUUCUGGUUUACCAUCAACGAACACAAAGGUUAAAGGUGCAGUCUGAAACAACUUGAAUUGGUUCCAAAUCCACUCAGGUCACUGGGGCCAGGCCCGAACCGGCACCAGCACCUAACAAAAACUUCAUAACCUCAUGAUGGCACUAGAGGAAACGUCAGAGAAUCACCAACACAGUAAAGCUACAAACUGACACCGACAUCAUGUGGAGUGGACAUACAUCUUCUUUUCAGUGACCUGCUAGUUCAUAACUUAUUAAUAGAAAAACCAGCAGCCGGUUUAUUUGUUGACUGGGUGAGGCUACUCAUCCAUCUCCAGUGGAGGACAGCAGGUCCGGCCAUCCAAAGGCCAGGUCUGGUAUUUACCUGUUAUCUUCUAUUUCACUUCCUUACUCUUCCUAAACUAAUAAGAAUUAAUAUAUCAUUUUAUGUUCCUCACUUUUCUUGGUCCUCCUCAAAACUGCACUGGCAAACUUGGUAGAGAUACUGCUACAUGAAGUACUGUGUAGCUUUAAGGCUGUAGUGCAGACAAUAAUAAUGCUUGGCUACCGCUAUCGUGAAAAUGUUAUCUGAUGGGAGGCAAACAAUGGCUGAUAGGAAGCAGCCAGUAUCCACACAGGUGUGGAGGAAAAUAAAUCAGGUUUCACUGACGUCAGAUGGCUCCGAGGACAGUGUUGCUGCAUGCCUUUACUUUGUUUCCCUGCAAUAAAUAUUCUUGCUGUGUCAUGGCACGGCAGCAUAAACAUAAUUUUCUUGUAUCCAAGCUGCCAAUACAAAACCAUCUGUUUGAUCGCCAUGGAAACAGUUAAAUGUGAAAUAAAGAGUUGGAAGCCGGCGCUGCAGCCAAGGACAACUCUGUGUGUGUAUUAAUCACAUCGUGGCACCUUAAAUCUGUUCAUAUAUAGUGACAUCAUGGGGACUCGCCUCCAAUUU